Long non-coding RNA from Raphanus sativus (radish), 1413 nucleotides. RefSeq lists it as uncharacterized. The record is from RefSeq and is a predicted model, not a curated record. NCBI's taxonomy places the organism in Eukaryota, Viridiplantae, Streptophyta, Magnoliopsida, Brassicales, Brassicaceae. The transcript is spliced from 4 exons.
UUAUGGGCCAUGAGAUCGUUAUCUUUCUUUUUGUAAUUUUGCAGAGAGGUACUGUUGGAUUCCAGUGAUCAAUGUUCCCGAUAUUACUCGAUGUGCCCCUUCCAGCCACUUUGGUUGGUUAAGUAGGAUCUUCUCUCCUGAGAAGCCAACGUAUUCGUCUCAUAUUUCAAUUCAAUAAAAUAAUAACUCAUGUGGAGAUAGAAUGUUCUACGAAGGUCGUUUCAGUGAGGCUUUGAAAUACAAUGAACGAGCAAUAGGGCUCUCACCUAAGAGUGCGAACUAUCACAACAAACCAGCAGCUGCAUUGCCGAAAUUUGGACGGACUGGUGAAGCUGGGAACCAGUGCGAAGAAGCCAUAAAACUGGAUCCAAAUUAUAUAGAGGCUCGUGACGAUUUUUGCCUUUUUUCUGUUUAAGGUUGCAGUUUAAGUCACUUCGAUGAUGGGAGGAAACUUGUGACAGAAUCAUCAUAUGGUUCAUACAUGAUAUUGACUAAUCAAGUAGAAAAACACUUGAAUAUAAACGCAUUAAUGCAAGAAGACGCGGUGAAUUGAAUAAUGUUUGGACGAAGCAAGUGUACAGCUUCUAAGUCUACUAAGCUAGCUAUGUGUACAGUUGAAGCACAAGUAAAACUCAACCGGCUUGAUACAGCUCAAACAGAACUAGCAGCUGUCACCAAAGUAGAACCGAUACCAGCCUCUUUCUCACGGUCACACAUUUGGGUUGCCGAUAUGAUCUCUAAAGCCUACAGUUUUUUUUUUGUCAAAUCACAAAUAAGUUUCGCUCUAGAAAGGUACAAAGAUGCAGCUGAACUGCAGAAAAACUUUAGAGAUCUCGAGCCAUAUAACAUUGAAAUUAAAAUUUUCAAGAAGAACGUUGAACUAGUUCAAAGUGCUCUGUCAUACAGAAAGGUAAAAACUAUGUAGUGUAGCUUGUUUAUUUUUGGCCCUUUUCCACUUGUUCUAAGCUUCUUCCUGAAACAGUAGCUAGAAAAAUGAGUUGAAGCAGUGAGAGAUUAUGAGAUAUUACAUGAGGCACUACCAUACGAUAAAGUCAUUGCUACUACAUCUUUGUCUCAAGCUCAAGUUGCACUGAAGCAAUCUCACAGAUCAAUUGUAAACAUGGAAUCCGGAGGUGAUAUUAAUUAAGGAAAUUUCUAGUCUUGAAGUCUUGAAAGCUGCAUUAGCUCGACUUGGGAUCCAAGUGACGUUCGUUCACCAAGCUAAUACUUCAAAAUCAUCUUCUGCUUGUGAAACGGAGUGAACUUAACUUGAGAGACUGCGAGUUUGCUUACGGUUGGUAGGAUCAUAGAUUCAUAGGCGAUGUUAGACGUUCUUUUUAUUAAGUUUAUUACUUCUUUUUGUUGGAUGAUAUGAAGUUGUUGUUUCUGUUUCGCAAAACUUUAGCUUUUCAU